GGGAAUCUUCCACAAUGGGCGCAAGCCUGAUGGAGCAACACCGCGUGAGUGAAGAAGGGUUUCGGCUCGUAAAGCUCUGUUGUUAAAGAGAACACGUAUGAGAGUAACUGUUCAUACGUUGACGGUAUUUAACCAGAAAGUCACGGCUAACUACGUGCCAGCAGCCGCGGUAAUACGUAGGUGGCAAGCGUUAUCCGGAUUUAUUGGGCGUAAAGAGAGUGCAGGCGGUUUCUAAGUCUGAUGUGAAAGCCUUCGGCUUAACCGGAGAAGUGCAUCGGAAACUGGAUAACUUGAGUGCAGAAGAGGGUAGUGGAACUCCAUGUGUAGCGGUGGAAUGCGUAGAUAUAUGGAAGAACACCAGUGGCGAAGGCGGCUACCUGGUCUGCAACUGACGCUGAGACUCGAAAGCAUGGGUAGCGAACAGGAUUAGAUACCCUGGUAG
RNAcentral lists this ribosomal RNA (442 nucleotides) under uncultured bacterium. Its description in RNAcentral is "bacterial SSU rRNA". It matches the Rfam family "Bacterial small subunit ribosomal RNA", at positions 357 to 793 of the family's 1533-position model. The record is from RNAcentral.